GGAGGGCGCAAGCGUUGUUCGGAAUCAUUGGGCGUAAAGCGGGUGUAGGCGGUUUGGCAAGUCGGAUGUGAAAUCCCAGGGCCCAACCCUGGAACUGCAUUCGAAACUGCCUCGCUAGAGUCCCGGAGAGGAUGGCGGAAUUCCCGGUGUAGAGGUGAAAUUCGUAGAUAUCGGGAGGAGCACCAGCGGCGAAGGCGGCCAUCUGGACGGUGACUGACGCUCAGACCCGAAAGCGUGGGUAGCGAACAGGGAUUAGAUACCCUGGUAGUCCACGCUGUAAACGUUGGGUGCUCGACGUCGCGGGUAUUGACCCCCCUGCGGUGUCCAAGCUAACGCGAGAAGCACCCCGGCCUGGGGAGUACGGCCGCAAGGCUA
Molecule: ribosomal RNA, 375 nt
Filed under: uncultured organism
Description: partial 16S ribosomal RNA
Rfam family: Bacterial small subunit ribosomal RNA
Source: RNAcentral